UACGUAGGGGGCGAGCGUUGUCCGGAUUUAUUGGGCGUAAAGAGCUCGUAGGCGGUUUGGUAAGUUGGAUGUGAAAUCUCCAGGCUCAACUUGGAGGGGUCAUUCGAUACUGCCAUGACUAGAGUUCGGUAGGGGAGUGUGGAAUUCCUGGUGGAGCGGUGAAAUGCGUAGAUAUCUGGAGGAACACCGGUGGCGAAGGCGGCAUCCUGGACCGACACUGACGCUGAGGAGCGAAAGCCAGGGGAGCAAACGGG
RNAcentral lists this ribosomal RNA (254 nucleotides) under uncultured bacterium. Its description in RNAcentral is "partial 16S ribosomal RNA". It matches the Rfam family "Bacterial small subunit ribosomal RNA", at positions 524 to 776 of the family's 1533-position model. The record is from RNAcentral.